GAUGAAGAACGUAGCGAAAUGCGAUAAGUAAUGCGAAUUGCAGAAUUUCCGUGAGUCAUCGAAUCUUUGAACGCACAUUGCGCCCUCUGGCAUUCCGGGGGCCAUGCCUGUCCGAGCGUCACGAAAACCCCAUCACACUCGUUGUGGUCAUGGCAGCAGUGAGUCGCCUCGUGUGGGGCGGUCACGCCGCUGAAAGGAAUGGUGCGGAUGAGUCCCGAUGGCCGAACGUAGUACUUUUCAACCCUCGGCGAAUCGGACCCCUCCAUCUUGCCCAGACGAUGGACCCCCAUCGUACUCCUCCAAGGUGGACCUCGGAUCAGGUAGGGAUACCCGCUGAACUUAAGCAUAUCAAUAAGCGGAGGA
Molecule: unclassified non-coding RNA, 363 nt
Filed under: soil metagenome
Description: partial contains 5.8S ribosomal RNA, internal transcribed spacer 2, and large subunit ribosomal RNA
Rfam family: 5.8S ribosomal RNA (bases 1-121)
Source: RNAcentral